GACGAACGCUGGCGGCGUGCUUAACACAUGCAAGUCGAACGGAAAGGCCCUGCUUUUGUGGGGUGCUCGAGUGGCGAACGGGUGAGUAACACGUGAGUAACCUGCCCUUGACUUUGGGAUAACUUCAGGAAACUGGGGCUAAUACCGGAUAGGAGCUCCUGCUGCAUGGUGGGGGUUGGAAAGUUUCGGCGGUUGGGGAUGGACUCGCGGCUUAUCAGCUUGUUGGUGGGGUAGUGGCUUACCAAGGCUUUGACGGGUAGCCGGCCUGGGAGGGUGACCGGCGACAUUGGGACUGAGAUACGGAGCAGACUCCUACGGGCGGCAGCAGUGGGGAAUCUUGCGCAAUGGGCGGAAGCGUGAUGCAGAAACGCCGCGUGCGGGAUGACGGCUUUCGGGUUGUAAACUGCUUUCGCCUGUGACGAAGCGUGAGUGACGGUAAUGGGUAAAGAAGCACCGGCUAACUACGUG
RNAcentral lists this ribosomal RNA (468 nucleotides) under uncultured bacterium. Its description in RNAcentral is "partial 16S ribosomal RNA". It matches the Rfam family "Bacterial small subunit ribosomal RNA", at positions 28 to 507 of the family's 1533-position model. The record is from RNAcentral.